UCCGAUAUAUCUGAUGGCGACUGUACAUAUUAUACCAUGUAGUGUAUAAUUGUUAUCUAUCGUAUUUUCUCGGAAACGUUCGUAUUUGUCAUGCUACUUCAGUCAACCGCAGUACUUUUUGUACCGAGACUGACUGAAAUAGCAAGACACGUUCGUACGUUUCCAUGAAAAUACGAACGUACCUUAAACUUACUCAACAUUGCCUAUCACGCCAAACAUUGCCUGUGGGCGCAGCACGGUUCCAUUUUUAUCGUCUAUCACUAUGCGCGUCCCUUUCGCACUUACGUACUUGUUGACCGAAGCGAAGCGAAGGUCUACGUUUUGACUCGGGCAUUUUGCUUUCGUAUGUCCGGAUGUUCUCCUCUACAGGUCGCAAUUCUUAACCGAUUCUCGUGAAAUUUUGUGACCGAAUUUUAUGACUAAAUAAAAUUUUUUUGUCAAUCCGGUUUUUGGAAAUUUUUAAAAAUGGCGGAGUCGUGAUACCUGGCGCCUAAACAAAUAGUCGUAUCGAUAUCAUAAGACUUUUUUCUUUUUGAAACAUGUUUACAGAGUUAAUAGCAAAAAAGGCAGAAAAAAAUUAUCGCUGGUUUAGGCGGUAUUUAGAUAUUUAAUUUUAACUAAUUUUAAUUUGAGAAGGAGUAGCUAAAUUUCGUCAACCCAUCUAAGAACUAUUUGGCUCAGUUUGUAAACGUUCGCUUUUUCUGUUUGCACAGAGGGUCUGGGUUUGGUCUGGGUUCGAUCCCCAGUAAUUGUAUGCUGGGAUAUUAUAACUUUUUGUAUUUUGUUACACAUAAAUUUCGUAUUGUUUUUCUUUAAUUUACUAUACACCGUGUUUUUAUUGAAUUCCGUUAACUUCGGGGUAUAGUUAAGUACGUUUAUAAGAACUAAAUGGCAUAGUUAAUUUUCAAAAAAAAAAAUUUUUUUUGUUUUCUUUUUUGUUUUUUUUUUUGUUUAAAAAGUAAUUAAAUGUAGCAUAUAGCGUUGUUGUAACACGGGCAUUACAUUUAACUCAACCAAACAAUUGAAAUCUGUGACAUAUCAAUGUCAUUUCGUACAUCAAUCGACCGAGAUUGUACUUAAGUUUAGUAGCAAAUGUAUGAACUCAUUCUAAACACUAAUCAAUAUGUAAGCCGGCCCUAAGGCAAGUGUACACGCUUGUAGAGGCCUUAUAGUAAAAAAAUAAAUUAUGGAUUAUCUCCGAAAUGGACUUAAUUAGAUCAUCGGUGUCUUUGAGAAAGUUACUUGAUUUAAGCUCAGGAAUGCACCCUUGAAAUUAACGGAAAUCAAAAAAAACACGGUGUAUUUAAAGCUCUUAGCACCAUGUUAUUUCAAGCUCUGCUCGCGAGGUCUACAGCUCACAGAGCCACUAGUUAGAACGUGACAGGCAUGGUGACAAGGGAUAAGAACGCGACCGUGCUAAGCCGCCUGGCUUCAAAAACAGUGCUUCUCUGGUCGCCUAUCUUCCAUUUUAGGAAUUAGAGACAACUGUUUAGUUAAGAACUGGGGGCCUAAUCAAGAUGAUAAUCUUACAUCAAUUGACAAACGCCAAACGAGUAGAAGAAGAAAUACAUUUAUUUUAACGCCACAACAUAAUUAGUACAUGAAAAAAAGAUAGGCAUGCAGACUUAAAAGACAUUUGGACCAAAAAUGUAUGACCGAUGCUACGAAGUCUCGUGAAUAUUACCAAUUUCCAUAUAUUAUUUAAAUUUUGAUUGGCGUUUUCUCCCCGCUGAUUUAUUUAAAUUUUAAAUAUGAAAAUGUUGGCAUAGUAUGCAAAGUUAUUUUAUUUAAGUUAUGUUGUGUUUAAAGCCUACCACUGACUAACAUGCCGCCGGACGAUAUCGGCCUGUCAGAACAAAAAUUUGACAGCUCCGAACAACUGACAGGCCGAUAUCGUCCGGCGAACUGUUAAUCAGUGGGCCCCUUAAGUUAUGUAAGUUUAUGGUACUUAGUCAUUGACACUUAAAACAAUAUUAGUUUAAAGAGAUUUGCAUAUCGAGACAAACAGUAGAUUUCCUUUCCCAUUUCGUAACUGUAUUUAGUAAUUAGUUACGAAUAAAAUAGCAAUGUGCUUUUUGCAACUGAUUAAAAAACCUCUAGAAAAAGGUGUAUCGAUCUCGUUGAUAAUUAAAAUAAUAUGAAUAUUGUAGGACUUUAAAUUAUUUAUUGAAAAAAUAAAUAAAACACAUAUUGCCAUAGAGUAAUAUAAGUAAAGGAAGAGUGGUAGAGUUAGAUCAAGAAAAGUUUGCAGCGAUUUUGAUAGCAUACGCAGUGCAAGUGUUAUUUCAUACGUCAUAAUUUCAUAGAAGUGUGACGUUCAAAAUAACAAUUGCACUGCGUGCGCUGUCAAAAUCGACUCAGACUUUUCUUGGCUAACUCUUACUCCAUACAUCAGUUAUCUUACCAAAACGCGAGUUAUUUCGUAGUCGACAUCUAACGUCAAGUAGCGGAAUUUAUCAAUACUGCUAGUUGACAAUAGUCGCGACGAACGAAAACCCUAAUGCUCAACAAUUUUCAACAUAUACUAUAACCGGAUUAACCGGAACUCUAUUUUCAACUCCUUCUGCUUAUAUUAGUUGUAAAUUGUUUUAGUAGUAUAUUUUUCGUCAGUAGCGACACUUGUGACAUCUGGUGUCAAGUAGCGGUACUGAUGGUUCCACUACUUGACGUUAGAUGAGAGUUUCUUUUAUUUUUUGCCAUUUUUAAAUAUUGUGAAUUUUUUUGCCACUUUUGUGUUAUUUCUACUCAGAAUCACGAGCUCUUUCGAUCCUAAUGCGAUAAAAAAAUGUCCCAGAGUGUUUUUCCUAUUGUGUUACCAUUUUCCCAUAUACUUUGUAUGGCGGUAACAAAAAGGAAAGUAUGAAAAAUGUAUGGAAAUUUUAGGACACUUUUUUUCUCCUAUAAGGAUGAAAAGGGUUCGCGAUCUUGACUAGAAAUAACACAAAAGUGGCAAAAAAGGUCACAAUAUAUAAAAAUGGCAAAAAAUAAAAGGAACGCUCAGGUAAUCAUUGUAUAUAUGAAAAAUAAUAUUUCUGGCGGGAUUUUACAUUCAAUUUUACUAAAUAUAGCAAAUAACCUAUCUUGUACAAUGUGACAUUAUAAUAAUUAUAAUUAAAAAUUAAAUAAAAAAAAGCUUUACUACCGGAAGCCUCGUUUAAGGUAACUUUAUAUUUAUUUAAAACUUAAACCAUAGACAAAAUAAUAAUAAGACUUACAAAGUAGUGCAAAAUACUGUACGAUUGUAUUUGACCGUGAAGAUGACACUUUAUGCGCUCUUAAUGGAAUGUAGAACUUCAGAUACCUCAUAUAUAAGAGG
Molecule: long non-coding RNA, 3316 nt
Organism: Cydia splendana
Lineage: Eukaryota; Metazoa; Arthropoda; Insecta; Lepidoptera; Tortricidae
Exons: 3
Source: RefSeq, a predicted model, not a curated record